AUCUCCACGUUGUUUACGUACCCAAUCAACAUUGUGUGCCAAGUUACGAUGUUCCUCUCCGGCAUUUCACCGAACGCUCUCUCACCAUCCUCCACAAAACCUAACUUCAUGUAACCCAUAAUCAACACAUUCCAAGACACCACAUCCUUGACCAAAAUCUCCUCAAAGACUCUCUCUAAACCUCUUGGAUCCCUUAAACUCGUGUAGCCUCUCAACAAAGCGGAGCCGGUGUAAACGCUUGAGGAUCUCCGCAUAUCUAAAAAAAGCCUGAGAACGCUCUCUGUAUUAUCUCUGGUUUUCUUCAGACCCAUGGGCAUGGUGUUCCAUGACACCACGUCUCUCACAGGCAUUUGAUCGAACACCUGGCGAGCUUCCGACAUCAGACAUGUUGAAAUGUCUAGCGAUGAUGUCUGGUUCUGAUUAAAAAGCCUGCGUGCUUCCACCAAACCAUCGUUCUUGUUGUCAACAUUUCGAAAGAUUAAAGAGGAGCAGUGUUGAAGCGACUUUGGAAGCUUUCUGCUGAGUAGAUUGUAGCCAACGUCAAGCGUCCGGAGAAGCGAGGCACUAACACAGAACAUGUCUCCUUCCAAGUCGUUCUUCCGGAAAUUCACAAAAAAAAAAA
Long non-coding RNA from Brassica oleracea var. oleracea, 622 nucleotides. RefSeq lists it as uncharacterized. The record is from RefSeq and is a predicted model, not a curated record. The transcript is spliced from 2 exons. Lineage: Eukaryota; Viridiplantae; Streptophyta; Magnoliopsida; Brassicales; Brassicaceae.